Long non-coding RNA from Carlito syrichta (Philippine tarsier), 1373 nucleotides. RefSeq lists it as uncharacterized. NCBI's taxonomy places the organism in Eukaryota, Metazoa, Chordata, Mammalia, Primates, Tarsiidae. The record is from RefSeq and is a predicted model, not a curated record. The transcript has 2 exons.
UCCUUCAUUCUGACUCCAGUUCUGACCCAGUGGGUGGUGUAUGCUAUCCGAAACCUUACAGAAGACAAUAGUCAAAACCAAGAUCUGAUUGCACAGAUGGAGGACCAGGGGCUGGCAGACCCAUCCCUACUUAAAAAAAUGGGUUUUGAAGUUGAAAAGAGGGGUGAAAAGCUGAUUCUGAAAUCUACUAGUGACACACCUCAGCCAAGUGAAUGAACUUCAUCCAAAUAUCUGAAAUUUUUUUGGAUUCUGUUUUGAGGAUUUUUCAUCUUCUGCAGUAUGUAAAGUUGCAAGUGUUUGAAGAUUUAUGAGUACAGAGUUGGGAGCCUAUGAAUCUUUUAGGUAAUAGAGUUAAAUGUGUAUAAGCUACAAGUGAAAGUACCUUAGUGUUUUUUUGUUUGUUUCUUUGCUCUAAAUGUAACUCUCUGGCUUGCCUUUGUUCCCCGAAUAGAAUGUGCAUUUAAGUAAUAUGUUGUACUUACUGUGACAGCAAAUAAUAAAUCAGUCUCUUUGAGGGCACAUCCUUUAUUUGACAAAACUUGGAUGUUUGCUUGGAUUCUGUUUGUUCCUUCAGAUGGCAAGUCAGCAUCGUUCUUUUAUUUUCCCAUUCUAAUUUGGGUUUCUUGAACUCUGGCAGGCAAUUGAAGUCAUUUCUCACUGUGAUGAAUUUUAGCAGUCUCUUUUCACCCCCUCCUCCCCGCCUUUCCAGAACAUUGACAACACUCAUUUCUAGUUAAUUAAUUCGAGAACCCCCCUUCUUCAUUUUAGAAACUGGGCUGUGCUGUCACUGAACCCUGUCCCUUUGGAAUGUAGCAGGGAGCAAGACUGGGGAGAGAACAUGUGGGCACUUAACUCUUUUUGUUCCAAAUCAUCCCAGAAGUAGACUUCUUGAGAUCCAUUUCGUGUAAAGGUGAAUGCCUGCAUGUUCCCCACCUUCAUGCCUCUGUAACAGGGGAAGGAAUGUUUUAUGUUCUAUUCUGUGUACAGUGCCACGCCACUAAAGAUACAUUUGUAUCUUCUUUGGUUUAAAAAGCACCAGUCUUAUAAAAGUGCCAAAAAACCGUGUCUUCAUUGGAAUUACAAAAGCAGUUUUGGGGAAUAGGAGUUUAUUUGAUGUCUACCUCCCUACCUAUCUACCUACCAUCUAUCUAUCUGUCCACUUGUAUCAGAGGUAGGACUGGAUUUAGCAAGCACUAAGUGCUUCAAAACCACCCAGAUCACUAAUAUAAUCAAGAAAAACUCUAGUGGGAGGUCAUGUGUGAAUGCUUUAAAUGUAUCUUCUUGAACCACAUUACUGAAUUAAUGUAGCUAGAGAUUUUGUACAAUUUAUGUCGAACCUUCCAAAAUAAAAACAAUAGAGAUCUAACCAAAAA